GGUUGGCGUACGCUGAGCUGGACCCUCGCAGCAAGAAUGGCACGUGGGAAUUGACACCGCGAUCGUGGAACACAUGGCUGAUCUGCCUCGAAUAACUGCAAGCCGGCGCGUGCGUAGUGCCGUGGAGAACGAUCAGAAGUCCUGGACGACAAAGAAAAAAACUUCAAAGCUGCCUCUGCGAACCCCGCUCCUGGACAACAGCUGGGAGGCUCUGUGUUUAAACGCGUGCACCUUAGACGUCAUGCUCCUGCCUCUGCAAGCCCUUUUGCUGGACGCCAUGGAAGGCCCUCCACUCGAAAGUGUGCACCUUAGACUACACGCUCAUCAAUACCAAGUUCUUUGUCCUUCUCGGCAUGAUUGUAGUGCCAUAUAAUAGUGAGGCAAUAAAUCAUUUUUGC
This is a long non-coding RNA of Rhipicephalus sanguineus (brown dog tick), 398 nucleotides long. RefSeq lists it as uncharacterized. The record is from RefSeq and is a predicted model, not a curated record. The transcript is spliced from 4 exons. NCBI's taxonomy places the organism in Eukaryota, Metazoa, Arthropoda, Arachnida, Ixodida, Ixodidae.